RNAcentral lists this long non-coding RNA (641 nucleotides) under Homo sapiens (human). RNAcentral's name for it is "HSALNT0363492". Lineage: Eukaryota; Metazoa; Chordata; Mammalia; Primates; Hominidae. The record is from RNAcentral.
CAGAGGUAGCCUAAUGGGGCCCUGCUGCUUGAGUUCUAAUCCCAGCCCCACCAGUUGUUGGCUAUUUGGCCCUGGGCAGGCACACCAGAAGACUACAUUUCCUAGCCCCCCACCCCCUUGCAGUGUCUGGGACCAUGUGACUCCUUAAUUAGGUCACUUCUCUCUCCUGGGAGGCCCUCUCUGCCCUCUCUAAGUCUAACUAGUGGCAAAGGAUCUAAGGGAAGAAACCUGGCAGAGUUACUAGUCCCAAGAAGCCUGGGUCCCUGAAUCACCACAUGGAAGUCUACGCGCCCACCACCUGAAUGGACUAAGGAAGCUGCAGGAUGAAGACAACAGCAUCACAAGGAGGAAGCCAGGAUCCCUGUGUUACCACAAGGAGGAGAGAUGCCUAACCAAGACCGUCUGCAAGGAUUUUGUGUGAGCCAGAAGCAGAGCUGUAUGGUGUUCAGCCACUGAGAUUUGAGGGCUGUUUGUUACAGCAGUUGACCUAUCCUGACUGACACAUCACAUCAUUCCUUUCCCCACCAUGUGUCUAACAUGCUACCAAAUUGAAUUUUAAGUAAAUUAGUACUUAUAAAUUAAGUACAAAUGCUUUUCAAAUUCACAUGAAUCUUUGGUAAAUAAAACUGGUUGUAAAAUUA